GAUGAACGCUAGCGGCAGGCCUAACACAUGCAAGUCGAGGGAGGAGCUUUCGGGCUUCGUCCGGCGUACGGGUGCGUAACGCGUAUACAAUCUGCCUUUCACAUAGGGAUAGCCCGAAGCAAUUUGGAUUAAUACCUAAUGGUAUAUAGGAGUGGCAUCACCUUUAUAUUAAAGCUGAGGCGGUGAAAGAUGAGUAUGCGUUCUAUUAGCUAGUUGGAGAGGUAACGGCUCCCCAAGGCGACGAUAGAUAGGGGUUCUGAGAGGGAUAUCCCCCACACUGGUACUGAGAUACGGACCAGACUCCUACGGGAGGCAGCAGUGAGGAAUAUUGGACAAUGGUCGGAAGACUGAGCCAGCCAUGCCGCGUGCAGGAAGACGGCCUUAUGGGUUGUAGACUGCUUUUGCAGGGGAAGAAUAAGGAGUACGUGUACUUUGAUGACGGUACUCUGCGAAUAAGCAUCGGCUAACUCCGUG
Molecule: ribosomal RNA, 474 nt
Filed under: uncultured bacterium
Lineage: Bacteria
Description: partial 16S ribosomal RNA
Rfam family: Bacterial small subunit ribosomal RNA
Source: RNAcentral